RNAcentral lists this ribosomal RNA (495 nucleotides) under uncultured bacterium. RNAcentral describes it as "partial 16S ribosomal RNA". It matches the Rfam family "Bacterial small subunit ribosomal RNA", at positions 28 to 507 of the family's 1533-position model. The record is from RNAcentral.
GACGAACGCUGGCGGCGUGCCUAAUACAUGCAAGUAGAACGCUGAAGGAGGAGCUUGCUUCUCUGGAUGAGUUGCGAACGGGUGAGUAAAGCGUAGGUAACCUGCCUGGUAGCGGGGGAUAACUAUUGGAAACGAUAGCUAAUACCGCAUAAUAGUAGAUGUUGCAUGACAUUUGCUUAAAAGGUGCAAUUGCAUCACUACCAGAUGGACCUGCGUUGGAUUAGCUAGUUGGUGGGGUAACGGCUCACCAAGGCGACGAUACAUAGCCGACCUGAGAGGGGGAACGGCCACACUGGGAAUUGGAAACGGCCCAGACUCCUUCGGGGGGCAGGAGUAGGGAAACUUCGGCAAUGGACGGAAGGCCGACCGAACAAAGCCGCGGGAGUGAAGAAGGUUUUCGGAUCGUAAAGCUCUGUUGUAAGAGAAGAACGAGUGUGAGAGUGGAAAGUUCACACUGUGACGGUACCUUACCAGAAAGGGACGGCUAACUACGUG